ACGAUCCAGUUCAAAUAAACGGGUUCAGUAAUCCUCGAACAAAGUGAUUCCCGGAAAAGAAUCAACGUCUCAGGGCAUUUCAAACUGCGCGCACACACAGCGAUUGACGUAGGCCGCGUUAGUGAAGUGAUUUGAUGCUUUUGUGGUUUAUAAAGUCUUUUUACAUACAAAUUAUAAUUAAGAAUGUGCACAUGGAUACAUUUGUGAGAGAAAAACUCGUCGAGUGCAGUCUUAUUGAGGCGUCUAACGGUUGGAACAAACAUGGAAUUCUUUAACCGAGCAGAGUCCACAAAACCCCAUCCAAUUGUCGUGGCGAUUUAAAAAUGCCAGCAGAUCUCUCAGGCAUUGAUCAUAAUCAAUGGACAGGCCACCGUAGCCACUCGUAUCCACUACGUAUCCAGAGCAGAUGGUGGAUCAGCACCUAGAAAGGGCCUCUACUGCCCUGAAAGACAGCGGAGACCAGGACAACUAGAGCCCAGAUACAGAUCCCCUGUAAAGACCUUGUCUCAGAGGACCACCAGGACAAGACCACAGGAAACAGAUGAUUCUUCUGCACAAUCUGACUUUGCUGCAGCCUGGAAUUGAACUAUUGGUUUCGUCUGGUCAGAGGAGAACUGGUCCCCAACUGAGCCUGGUUUCUCCCAAGGUUUUUUUCUCCAUUCUGUCACCGAUGGAGUUUCGGUUCCUUGGUUUUCCUUAGUUGGGGACAAUUAAUAUCAAGCAAUAUCAUCGACUUGUUUGCACAGAGGGACGAUACAUCACUGAAUGAAUGAUGAACUGACUUUAACUGAAAACUGAAAAGGUAGUUUUUGUUCAGUG
Long non-coding RNA from Carassius gibelio (silver crucian carp), 819 nucleotides. RefSeq lists it as uncharacterized. The transcript has 3 exons. The record is from RefSeq and is a predicted model, not a curated record. Lineage: Eukaryota; Metazoa; Chordata; Actinopteri; Cypriniformes; Cyprinidae.